This 612-nucleotide ribosomal RNA is filed under the name uncultured bacterium. RNAcentral's name for it is "bacterial SSU rRNA". It matches the Rfam family "Bacterial small subunit ribosomal RNA", at positions 8 to 617 of the family's 1533-position model. The record is from RNAcentral.
AGGGUUUGAUUCUGGCUCAGAUUGAACGCUGGCGGCAUGCCUUACACAUGCAAGUCGAACGGUAACGCGGGGCAACCUGGCGACGAGUGGCGAACGGGUGAGUAAUGCAUCGGAACGUGCCUGGUAGUGGGGGAUAACUGCUCGAAAGAGCAGCUAAUACCGCAUACGACCUGAGGGUGAAAGGGGGGGAUCGCAAGACCUCCCGCUAUCGGAGCGGCCGAUGUCGGAUUAGCUAGUUGGUGGGGUAAAGGCCCACCAAGGCAACGAUCCGUAGCUGGUCUGAGAGGACGACCAGCCACACUGGGACUGAGACACGGCCCAGACUCCUACGGGAGGCAGCAGUGGGGAAUUUUGGACAAUGGACGCAAGUCUGAUCCAGCAAUGCCGCGUGCGGGAAGAAGGCCUUCGGGUUGUAAACCGCUUUUGUCAGGGAAGAAAUCUUCUGGGUUAAUACCUCGGGAGGAUGACGGUACCUGAAGAAUAAGCACCGGCUAACUACGUGCCAGCAGCCGCGGUAAUACGUAGGGUGCAAGCGUUAAUCGGAAUUACUGGGCGUAAAGCGUGCGCAGGCGGUUAUGCAAGACAGGUGUGAAAUCCCCGAGCUCAACUUGG